This 242-nucleotide long non-coding RNA is filed under the name Theobroma cacao (cacao). RNAcentral's name for it is "long non-coding RNA (TCAC_LNC004747)". Lineage: Eukaryota; Viridiplantae; Streptophyta; Magnoliopsida; Malvales; Malvaceae. The record is from RNAcentral.
ACUAUUCCAGUAUUUCGUUUUCUAAGAGCAGAAUGUUUCUAAUAAAUUCUGAAAUCUUUGACUCAACAACUUAAAUAUUAACCCUUCCACCCAUUCUCCUAAACUUACUAACUUGAGCUGAAGAAUCCCCACACUGCUUUUUGGUACAGAGAAAGAUGUUUAAAUGAUAAGCAUUGUGAGGCCAAGUUUUGGUCGUUAAAGAGUCCCAAUACUCCAGUUCAAUGCCUGACCCUGAAUCACGA